Molecule: long non-coding RNA, 382 nt
Organism: Diachasmimorpha longicaudata
Lineage: Eukaryota; Metazoa; Arthropoda; Insecta; Hymenoptera; Braconidae
Exons: 3
Source: RefSeq, a predicted model, not a curated record
GGUCGCCUCCUGAUGGAUACUGAAAAGUCCAGCGGAGAAGAGCCAAGAGGAGGAACGCAUCACUUCGUACGAAAGAGGACCAAGGGAGGGGAGAGGCUCAUUCAUUGGGGCGCAUACGCCCCCGCAAACAUAAAUAUAGAUCGUUUCGGAGAAUCUUCAAUUGUCGGAAGACGACUUUUCGUUGCAGAUUUAUUCGAAAAAACGUAUCCAGUGGAUGUUGGGGCCUUUGGUGGAAUCAGCCCAGCCGAUGGGGCUUUCAGCGUAUUGUGCUGUUCGUACUGGUUUUCAUAACGAUCGCUUGGAUUCCUAUUGUUUCGAUGGUGAUACCCCAUCUACACCGAGUAAUUAAUAAGCCAUACUGGUAUGCUGUAGUGGAUUAUGU